CAGUCGCCACGGUAAUACGAAGGGGGCUAGCGUUGCUCGGAAUUACUGGGCGUAAAGCGUGCGCAGGCGGUUGUGUAAGACAGGUGUGAAAUCCCCGGGCUUAACCUGGGAACUGCGCUUGUGACUGCACAGCUAGAGUAUGGCAGAGGGGGGUGGAAUUCCACGUGUAGCAGUGAAAUGCGUAGAGAUAUGGAGGAACACCGAUGGCGAAGGCAGCCCCCUGGGCCAAUACUGACGCUCAUGCACGAAAGCGUGGGGAGCAAACAGGAUUAGAUACCCGCGUAGUCCCUGUCUCUUAUAA
RNAcentral lists this ribosomal RNA (301 nucleotides) under uncultured bacterium. RNAcentral's name for it is "partial 16S ribosomal RNA". It matches the Rfam family "Bacterial small subunit ribosomal RNA", at positions 509 to 809 of the family's 1533-position model. The record is from RNAcentral.